Molecule: long non-coding RNA, 213 nt
Organism: Carassius gibelio (silver crucian carp)
Lineage: Eukaryota; Metazoa; Chordata; Actinopteri; Cypriniformes; Cyprinidae
Exons: 3
Source: RefSeq, a predicted model, not a curated record
CCGAAUUAUUUCAUAUUUGCCUGUAUAUUUUUUAUUUAUUUCGAGCGAAUUUGAGUCGUGACAUGUCAAUGGAGAACAAAAACUGUGAACACAAGAAGGGUCAGGUGUUCUGCGAGGUCCUGAAAACAUCCUGUCAAAAUGAGCUGAUCAAGUUAGAUGCUCACCUAAUGUGUUGCUGAGUCAUCGAGGAUCCAGCUUGUUCUUGAAACAUUG